This 511-nucleotide ribosomal RNA is filed under the name uncultured bacterium. RNAcentral describes it as "bacterial SSU rRNA". It matches the Rfam family "Bacterial small subunit ribosomal RNA", at positions 791 to 1302 of the family's 1533-position model. The record is from RNAcentral.
UAGUCCACGCCGUAAACGAUGAGUGCUAGAUAUCGGAAAUUAAACUUUCGGUUUCGUAGCUAACGCAUUAAGCACUCCGCCUGGGGACUACGGUCGCAAGAUUAAAACUCAAAGGAAUUGACGGGGGCUCGCACAAGUGGUGGAGCAUGCGGUUUAAUUCGAUGCUACGCGAAAAACCUUACCAGCCCUUGACAUACCUCUCGCGGAUUUCAGAGAUGAUUUCCUUCAGCUUGGCUGGAGAGUGUACAGGUGCUGCACGGCUGUCGUCAGCUCGUGUCGUGAGAUGUUGGGUUAAGUCCCGCAACGAGCGCAACCCUCGUCCUUAGUUGCUAACAUUUAGUUGAGAACUCUAAGGAAACUGCCGGUGAUAAACCGGAGGAAGGUGGGGAUGACGUCAAGUCUUCAUGGCCCUUAUGGGCUGGGCUACACACGUGCUACAAUGGCGAUGACAAAGGGCAGCGACCUCGCGAGAGGAAGCUAAUCUCCAAAAGAUAUCUCAGUUCGGAUUGUU